This 432-nucleotide ribosomal RNA is filed under the name uncultured bacterium. RNAcentral describes it as "partial 16S ribosomal RNA". It matches the Rfam family "Bacterial small subunit ribosomal RNA", at positions 29 to 506 of the family's 1533-position model. The record is from RNAcentral.
AACGAACGCUGGCGGCAGGCCUAACACAUGCAAGUCGAGCGAGGACUUCGGUUCUAGCGGCGGACGGGUGGGUAACGCGUGGGAAUAUGCCCUUCUCUACGGAAUAGCCCUGUGAAACUUGGAUUAAUACCGUAUACGCCCUAUUGGGGAAAGAUUUAUCGGAGAAGGAUCAGCCCGCGUUGGAUUAGGUAGUUGGUGGGGUAAUGGCCUACCAAGCCGACGAUCCAUAGCUGGUUUGAGAGGAUGAUCAGCCACACUGGGACUGAGACACGGCCCAGACUCCUACGGGAGGCAGGAGUGGGGAAUCUUAGACAAUGGGGGCAACGCAGAUAUAGCCAGGCCGCGUGAGUGAUGAAGGGCUUAGGGUUGUAAAGCUCCUUCAGCUGGGAAGAUAAUGACGGUACCAGUAGAAGAAGCCCCGGCUAACUCCGU